RNAcentral lists this ribosomal RNA (344 nucleotides) under Anaerobacillus alkalidiazotrophicus. RNAcentral describes it as "bacterial SSU rRNA". It matches the Rfam family "Bacterial small subunit ribosomal RNA", at positions 1 to 333 of the family's 1533-position model. Lineage: Bacteria; Bacillati; Bacillota; Bacilli; Caryophanales; Bacillaceae. The record is from RNAcentral.
UUUUAUGGAGAGUUUGAUCCUGGCUCAGGACGAACGCUGGCGGCGUGCCUAAUACAUGCAAGUCGAGCGAAUGGAUGGGAGCUUGCUCCCUGAAAUUAGCGGCGGACGGGUGAGUAACACGUGGGCAACCUGCCCUGUAGACUGGGAUAACUUCGGGAAACCGAAGCUAAUACCGGAUAAUCUUUGGAGCCUCAUGGUUCUAAAGUAAAAGUUGGGUUUUACCUAACACUACAGGAUGGGCCCGCGUCGCAUUAGCUAGUUGGUAAGGUAACGGCUUACCAAGGCGACGAUGCGUAGCCGACCUGAGAGGGUGAUCGGCCACACUGGGACUGAGACACGGCCCA